RNAcentral lists this unclassified non-coding RNA (234 nucleotides) under Hevea brasiliensis (rubber tree). Lineage: Eukaryota; Viridiplantae; Streptophyta; Magnoliopsida; Malpighiales; Euphorbiaceae. The record is from RNAcentral.
UGAUGCGAUCUGCGAAUUCUCAUUGAAAAACCCUGGGAUUGCCCGGAGUCGAAUGAAUUGUUUGGGUGCUAUGAAUUUCAAGCACCUAUUGCUGCUGUAAAGCUCUUUUUGGUCUUUCUUCUGCAUAGAGCAAAGCAAUUUUUGAUUGUUUGGACUUCCAUGACUUUGAAUAAGAAGGAAGCUUUGAAGAGUUCUUCAUUAGUUAGUUUGAUUGAUCUUCUUCAAGUACUCAAG